Molecule: transfer RNA, 77 nt
Filed under: Campylobacteraceae bacterium
Lineage: Bacteria; Pseudomonadati; Campylobacterota; Epsilonproteobacteria; Campylobacterales; Campylobacteraceae
Description: tRNA-Pro
Rfam family: tRNA
About the family: Transfer RNA (tRNA) molecules are approximately 80 nucleotides in length. Their secondary structure includes four short double-helical elements and three loops (D, anti-codon, and T loops).
Source: RNAcentral
CGGGGUGUAGCGCAGUCUGGUAGCGCAUCUGGUUUGGGACCAGAGGGUCGCAGGUUCAAGUCCUGUCACCCCGACCA